RNAcentral lists this long non-coding RNA (1016 nucleotides) under Citrus x clementina. RNAcentral's name for it is "Citrus clementina (C. clementina) long non-coding RNA (CCLE_LNC000552)". The record is from RNAcentral. Lineage: Eukaryota; Viridiplantae; Streptophyta; Magnoliopsida; Sapindales; Rutaceae.
AUAUAUUUCUUUUUAAAUGUGGGUGAGUGAGAGUGCAGAUAUAUCAUCAAAUAGGAAUAGAAGUUUGAGUUGCGCCAAAAUUUGAGUGAUUUUGGUUAAUUGUCAGAUAACAACGCUUGCACUUUCUUCAUUCGUAUAAAAGACAAAUGUAGUGUCAAAAUCUAAAUUAAUUAAGUUGUCCGCAAUUCAUGAUUAGUACGUAUGGUUAAAAUAUAAGUGCAUUAAUUUCUUUUCCUUGAUAUAAAGUUUUCCCAUUUUCACAAUAACUUAAGCCAUGAUUAAUAUAUAUCAACCAAAAGUCGCGAUAAAUAAAGUGAAAUUAAAAGGGAAGAAUACGCAUUAGAUUCGGUGGGUGAGAUUUCAUUCUCAUUUCUCAAAUUAAGAUUUCUAAUAACAAUCUAUAACAGUGACUUUUGUAUUCACAUAAAUCCAAAGCUCAACGAUCCAAAUACUUUUAACAGUUGAAUAAUGUCCACUCAAAUCAAUAAAUUAUCAAUUAUUUCAAGAAGAUCAAUUAACAACCCCUUUACACACUCAGCAUUUAGCAUUAGCAACAUGGUAUCUAAUAGUCCAUGAACCACAUGACCCAUGAGAGCAUUUAAUUAAGACCCCAACAGUCACUCUUGGCCGUCCAAUCUGUAAAAUCAUCAACAAAGAAAUCGCGGCAAUCUCGAGGGAGUAACGAUCAAUAACCAACAUCAACGGCAGAAUCCAUGGAGAAAUAUUAUUGUAUUUAACAAUGAGGCACAAAUACGUUUUAUUCAAAGAUGAUCAUAUCAGUUCCCGACCCCACGUCAACCGACAAGGCUCCUUUAUUGUGUAUUUAAAUUGAAUGAUCGUUAGUGAUACGAAUAUACGAUAACUCUUUUGAAGCCAUGCAAAUUAGUCAAGGUUUAACUAAUUGAUAGAUAUUAAUACCGAAAAAAUUGUACUGGCCGAUGUGACAUAGCAGAAUUAAUUGAAUGAAAGUAUAAAGUAUUGAUGAAAUAUUUUAGAAAAGGGUUUGGUUACAUAGG